This 461-nucleotide ribosomal RNA is filed under the name uncultured organism. Its description in RNAcentral is "bacterial SSU rRNA". It matches the Rfam family "Bacterial small subunit ribosomal RNA", at positions 28 to 507 of the family's 1533-position model. The record is from RNAcentral.
GAUGAACGCUAGCGGCGUGCCUAACACAUGCAAGUCGAACGUGAGAGGGUACUUGUAUCCUUGAAAGUGGCGGACGGGUGAGUAAGACGUAGGUGACCUGCCUUGAAGUGGGGGAUAACCAUUGGAAACGAUGGCUAAUACCGCAUAAGCUGGUGACGAUGGGAAUGGUUAUCAGGAAAGCUUUAGUGCUUUGAGAGGGGCCUACGGCCGAUUAGCUAGUUGGUGAGGUAAAGGCUCACCAAGGCGAUGAUCGGUAGCUGGUCUGAGAGGACGAUCAGCCACACGGGAACUGAGACACGGUCCCGACUCCUACGGGGGGCAGCAGUGAGGAAUAUUCGGCAAUGGGGGCAACCCUGACCGAGCAACGCCGCGUGGAGGAUGACGGUUUUCGGAUUGUAAACUCCUUUUCUCAGGGAAGAGCGAGGACGGUACCUGAGGAAUAAGUCACGGCUAACUACGUG